UCGGAAGGGCGGAGGAUCGCUCCCGGCUCGCGCCGGGGGAGGAAAGUCCGAACACCACAGGGCGCGAUGCCGCGUAACUCCGGUUCAGCCGGAGAUACACGCGGGCGGUUCGCCGAGAGGCGUGCCGACGGACAGUGCCACAGAAACUAAGACCGCCACGCCGGGCAACCGGCGGGGCAAGGGUGAAAAGGUGCGGUAAGUGCGCACCGCCCCAAGCGCAAGCGCGGGGGCAUGGAAAACCCCAUCGGGUGCAAGGCCAAAUAGGGAACCAACGGAGCGGCUCGCUCCAGUUUCCGCGCAAGCGGGAUGGGUUCCGGGUAUUGGCUGCUGAGACAAAUGAUCCUCUCCGUCCGCAAGGGCGCAGACAGAAAUCGGCUUACAGCCCUUCCGAAGCC
This 395-nucleotide RNase P RNA is filed under the name Verrucomicrobiota bacterium. RNAcentral describes it as "Verrucomicrobia bacterium (groundwater metagenome) RNase P RNA component class A". It matches the Rfam family "Bacterial RNase P class A". Rfam says of the family: Ribonuclease P (RNase P) is a ubiquitous endoribonuclease, found in archaea, bacteria and eukarya as well as chloroplasts and mitochondria. Its best characterised activity is the generation of mature 5'-ends of tRNAs by cleaving the 5'-leader elements of precursor-tRNAs. Lineage: Bacteria; Pseudomonadati; Verrucomicrobiota. The record is from RNAcentral.